GUCGAGGGGCAGCAUGAACUUAGCUUGCUAAGUUUGAUGGCGACCGGCGCACGGGUGAGUAACACGUAUCCAACCUGCCGAUGACUCGGGGAUAGCCUUUCGAAAGAAAGAUUAAUACCCGAUGGCAUAGUUCUUCCGCAUGGUAGAACUAUUAAAGAAUUUCGGUCAUCGAUGGGGAUGCGUUCCAUUAGGUUGUUGGCGGGGUAACGGCCCACCAAGCCUUCGAUGGAUAGGGGUUCUGAGAGGAAGGUCCCCCACAUUGGAACUGAGACACGGUCCAAACUCCUACGGGAGGCAGCAGUGAGGAAUAUUGGUCAAUGGACGAGAGUCUGAACCAGCCAAGUAGCGUGAAGGAUGACUGCCCUAUGGGUCGUAAACUUCUUUUAUACGGGAAUAAAGUGAGGCACGUGUGCCUUUUUGUAUGUACCGUAUGAAUAAGGAUCGGCUAACUCCGUGCCAGCAGCCGCGGUAAUACGGAGGAUCCGAGCGUUAUCCGGAUUUAUUGGGUUUAAAGGGAGCGUAGGCGGACGCUUAAGUCAGUUGUGAAAGUUUGCGGCUCAACCGUAAAAUUGCAGUUGAUACUGGGUGUCUUGAGUACAGUAGAGGCAGGCGGAAUUCGUGGUGUAGCGGUGAAAUGCUUAGAUAUCACGAAGAACUCCGAUUGCGAAGGCAGCCUGCGUGGACUGUAACUGACGCUGAUGCUCGAAAGUGUGGGUAUCAAACAGG
This 726-nucleotide ribosomal RNA is filed under the name uncultured Bacteroidales bacterium. RNAcentral describes it as "bacterial SSU rRNA". It matches the Rfam family "Bacterial small subunit ribosomal RNA", at positions 61 to 776 of the family's 1533-position model. Lineage: Bacteria; Pseudomonadati; Bacteroidota; Bacteroidia; Bacteroidales. The record is from RNAcentral.